GAUGAACGCUGGCGGCGUGCCUAAUACAUGCAAGUCGAGCGAACAGACGAGGAGCUUGCUCCUUUGACGUUAGCGGCGGACGGGAGAGUAACACGUGGAUAACCUACCUAUAAGACUGGGAUAACUUCGGGAAACCGGAGCUAAUACCGGAUAACAUGUUGAACCGCAUGGUUCAACAGUGAAAGACGGUUUUGCUGUCACUUAUAGAUGGAUCCGCGCCGCAUUAGCUAGUUGGUAAGGUAACGGCUUACCAAGGCAACGAUGCGUAGCCGACCUGAGAGGGUGAUCGGCCACACUGGAACUGAGACACGGUCCAGACUCCUACGGGAGGCAGCAGUAGGGAAUCUUCCGCAAUGGGCGAAAGCCUGACGGAGCAACGCCGCGUGAGUGAAGAAGGUCUUCGGAUCGUAAAACUCUGUUAUUAGGGAAGAACAAAUGUGUAAGUAACUAUGCACGUCUUGACGGUACCUAAUCAGAAAGCCACGGCUAACUACGUG
RNAcentral lists this ribosomal RNA (497 nucleotides) under uncultured bacterium. RNAcentral's name for it is "partial 16S ribosomal RNA". It matches the Rfam family "Bacterial small subunit ribosomal RNA", at positions 28 to 507 of the family's 1533-position model. The record is from RNAcentral.